RNAcentral lists this ribosomal RNA (254 nucleotides) under uncultured bacterium. Its description in RNAcentral is "partial 16S ribosomal RNA". It matches the Rfam family "Bacterial small subunit ribosomal RNA", at positions 524 to 776 of the family's 1533-position model. The record is from RNAcentral.
UGCGUAGGGGGCGAGCGUUGUCCGGAUUUAUUGGGCGUAAAGAGCUCGUAGGCGGUUCGAUAAGUCGGAUGUGAAAUCUCCACGCUCAACGUGGAGGGGCCAUUCGAUACUGUCGUGACUCGAGUCCGGUAGGGGAGUGUGGAAUUCCCGGUGUAGCGGUGAAAUGCGCAGAGAUCGGGAGGAACACCAAUGGCGAAGGCAGCUCGCUGGGACGUUACUGACGCUGAGACGCGAAAGCGUGGGGAGCAAACAGG